This 115-nucleotide small nuclear RNA is filed under the name Nannospalax galili (Upper Galilee mountains blind mole rat). Lineage: Eukaryota; Metazoa; Chordata; Mammalia; Rodentia; Spalacidae. The record is from RNAcentral.
AUGCUUGCUGCAGCACUACAUUUACUAAAAUAGGAAUGAUAGUGGUUAGUGAUAGAGGUUAGCUUGGUCCCUGUGCAAGGAUUACACUCAAAUUCAUGAAGCAUUCCACUCCAUU